Long non-coding RNA from Dermochelys coriacea (leatherback sea turtle), 2421 nucleotides. RefSeq lists it as uncharacterized. The record is from RefSeq and is a predicted model, not a curated record. The transcript has 2 exons. Lineage: Eukaryota; Metazoa; Chordata; Testudines; Dermochelyidae.
GUCUGUUCAAAUUCUGGAGAGGCUGACAUAGCAUUUUUUAUAUGCAUUUUUGACUUUACCUCCCUGAGAUUCUUACCAUCUCUGAGGUUCCCCCAAGAGUGGAAAGUGGUGUGUGCAUUUGGGUUUUUGUCUGUGCGGGAUGUGCUGUUUGGCUUUGCUGUUGUGCCUUCGAGGGUGUAUUGGUGUGGGUUGGGGUGGAGGGAGUAGUGUUGCGAAUUUAUGUUCCCAGUGUGGCUUUGCAGCUUUGGUGUGCCUCAGAGGUGCCUAUAUGGUGUCAGAGGGACUAGCAGGGGGCAUCUGGGGGUGAGCUGGAUAGUAAUGCCCCCUACGUCCUGUUUAAGGAUAGCUUAACUCUGGGAUGACUUUACACUGAGGUGAGUGACUAGGAAGCAGAAAAUGCCCUUAUUCAAAAAGGCAAAGAGCAGAACAGCAAAAUACGCAAUGCAGAUAUUCACCAAGAUGGUCCUCCGAGUGGAAGGGACUUGUGAACUACUCCUGUGGGGUAACCAUGAAGCUGUUCCUCAUUAAUGUCCAGACAAAUGUGGAGCAAUUUCUCAGUCGUAGAUUUUACUUUAUCUCCCCUGCAGACAUGGUAGUGCAGAGAAAAACAGGGUUCUGCAAUGAUUGUCUGAAACAUUCACUGUUAUCAGUCGUUAUCUAUGGGUACGUCUGCAGUGCAACACCCCCUUUCUUUCCCCCUCCUCGCUCCGCAGGAGCAAGUCUCAGAGCUUGGGUCAAAUUGAUUUGGGUUCACAGGGCUCAAGCUACAGGGCUAAAAAUAGCCACGUAGAUGUUCCCACUCAGGCUGGAGCCCAAGCUCUGAAACCCAGCAAAGGGGGAGGGUCCUGGAGCCUAAGCUCCAGCCUGAACUUAAAUGUCUACACUGCUAUUUUUAGCCCCGCAGGUUGAGCCCUGCAAACCAGAGUCAGUUGACCGAAGCUCUGAGACUUGCUGCUAUGGGGUGUUUUGUUGUAGUGUAGAGGCACCCUGGGUGAGCCUGUGAAAAGGCAUUAAGAGCUUUGUAUCCCUACAGUAAAGGUUUUGUACUGUAAUGUGUUACAGGGCUUUUAUUACCUCAGCAGGAGCUGUGGUCUUUGUAACUUUAUGGGUCUACAGUGUCCAUGUCUACCUCAUGUAAACUGAGAAUAUGAACCAAAUUUCUUUUCCCAUAAUCAGUGUCUCAAUAAACUUCUGAAUUUUGCACAAAAUACCAUUUUCAUUAUUUAGUUCUGCUGCAGAAGGGGGCAGGGUAGAGUCUGGGGCUGUGCCAUGCUACUGGCCAACAUUGUGAACUAGUCGACCGGGUUUUUGGGAGGAGUGGGGUGUUUGCUGGGUGAGGGAAAGGGAAACAAAAAUAGGUAAAUGGGCAUGUGCACUCUAUGGUGUGGGCCUAAAAAUGGCCACUAGCUGGAGCUUUAGCAUGAGACAGAAGCUGGUUGCCCAGCUGGAGCAGCCACCAUUUUGAAAAUGUGUAUGGGGAUGCUGAAUGGACACCAUGGGGGGAGAAAGGAGGGCAGGUGGGGAGCCUCAGACUUGGAAAGGCUCCUAGCUCACAUCUGCCUACAAUGCCUCUGGUCAUGGGGCACCCGGAACAGAAGGUAGCAUGGCAGUAGAACACAAUUGUAAAGAGAGAUUGAGAUUCCCUCUGUAAGAUCUGCCUCCUCAGUCCUGGCCUGAGUUGCUGCCUGGGACUUGGGGUUGGUUGCUGCAGGGUAGGAAUCAGGCCCCUCUUCUACCUGGUCGGUUUCAGAGUCCUGAGUCCUAAAAAGAUCCUGGCUUUCCCAGGAAAUCUCUACAGUGGCCGCCUCAUGUUCAUCCCCUGAUGAGCCUUGCUUGUUGUUCUUGGGACAGAGGGGAGUGGCAGCAGACUUCACAACUUUCCUAGGUUUGGUGGUUAUGUAGAUGUUUAAAAUCCUGUCCAACUCCUGAAAAAAAUGGACAGGUUAUAUGUCCCCUGCCAGAUGUUUUCCUGGCAUCCCUGGUUUUAAUACAAGUCGUCCUGAGCUCUUUGUUCUUUAUCUGGCAUUGGUUGGCAUCCCAGUAAUGAUCCCUUUGGGACAUCUGCUUAGCAAUGUUCACAACAAGAUCUUUAUUCCAGUGGCUGGCCAUAAGAGCUUUUAGCAUUGAUGCUUCUCCCCACAUGGCCAUGAGAUCCAGCAUGGCUUCAAGCAGCUUCUUCAGCCAUGUUGUAGGACUUCUGGUGUAAUAUCACAGUAAUUGUGAUAUUCUCAAAUCCAGGGAAAUGGGCAAAAUUUGGCCCUAUACCAGCUUUAAAUGGGGGAGGGGACAUCUGGUUAACUUGACACCAGAGCAGGAGAGGGCACACAGAUAAACAGACAGAUCAGUGACGGUUGCCUGCAAAGCAGUGUGGGAUAGCUGUUGGAGGAUUGCCAAAGCAGUGCUCAGCAGCAUUAUGUGCAC